ACGGCUCACGUUUUGUAGAUUUUUUAUUCUCCUCUGUCCACCUCAAUACGAUGGCUUUAAGACGGACGAGAUCCUCCACGACACAGCCGCCGAGCACACGUCUGGCGGCGAUGGCGAGGAGAGAGCUCCUCCACGGCACAGCCGCCGACCUCGCGUAUGGCGACGAUGGCGAGGAGAUGCUCCUGUCCGCGCUGAUCCUGCCACCCAUAUCCUCCCUUUCACCUCCAUUGACCACCACAAUCCCGUGCCUCCGAAUCCCACUUCAUAGCUGUAUUAAUCCCACUUCAUCGCUGGAUUUCUAGGACAAGGACGAGUUGGAGGGGAUUUCCAUCCCAGAGCUCCAAAAUCUGACGCGUCCUCCACCACGUCAGAUCCCUGCGGACGCAGCCCAGGCGGCGCCGGCCCUGCCAAGGAGCCCGGCCGAGCUCCUUCGUGCGUUUUCCAUCAAGAUCGCCUGCAUCAGCUUUGAUUCAAGUCGAGCAUACUUUGGAUUGGCGGAUGAUGCCGACGAUGAUGACCAAAAUCGACCAGCAGAUGGAUGCGGAGUAAUACUGAUGCCUGGACACGAUCUAGAGAACGGCGACCAAGUUCAGCGGCCUGAUACAGCCAUCGGGCAGCAGCGGCGGCUGCUCUGGUCGUGCACCGCACCUUGAGGCCACGGAACACCGGCGAGAUCAUGGUGUCAGCGAAAAAUUGCCUACUCACCAUACCACCGGGAGGAACCCUUUGUGGUUUCUGCCGUGAAGAUGGAGCUGGAAGUGGCUAUCAAGUCACCCACCUUCAAGAUGAAGUCACGAAGGUAUUGAGUGAUCUGCUUGUGUGUUUUGUGAUUUUGGAAGAUCUUGCUGCAAUCCAAGUAUUGCACCAUAGUUCAAUCUUUAUGCCCAUUCUUUUUCUCUGUGUUCACCGUUGAUUAACUUUUUUAUGAUGUCGACUCAUACCAUUUUUCCUACUCACUCUGGUUCGCUGGGAUGUAGUUAUGAUUCUGGCAAACUUUUGCCUAUAAUUUUCCUUCUUUGCAUUUAUUUAUGUCUUGGUAUGUACUUAAGCUAGGUGUCAUGUUGUUCCUGCUUCUUUUGUUUCUUUCUACAUAAAAUUUUAUUAGAAUUGUCUAAAUAUUGGAUCUGUUGAUGCAAGAACAAUGGAGAGAAAUUGUUUAGGAUCGAUGAACUUGAACGGGACAGUGUGCUAUUGCAACUGGAGGAGGAUUGCCUCAACGUUUACAGGAAUAAAGCGGAACAGACUAGAAAGAAAAAAGGCAAACCUACUUCAAGCCAUAUCUUUGAGUGAAGGUCAUAUAAUAAAACAUUUCUGCUAUGUUAUAGCGUGAAUCCUUUGCUAGGGUCUGCAAAUCUGUUUUUGCUGUUUCUGAUAGAAUGUCAUUUCAAAUGCAUGUUUUGCAAUGAGAGAUGAUGAACCUGAAUGUAUUAGAGAGAUGUACUAAAAAAGGAAGAAGAAAAUAAAUGAUAAUUAGUAAACCAGAGAGUUGGGGCUUACUAAUUAGUUUGGUAAGAACUCAAGAUAUUUCUCAUCCUCUGCAUCUUUCUAAUCCAAAACACUAUGUCCAUGAUUACAUACACACAUGCACCAUUCUUUUCGAUAAAAACAUUGAAAACUAAAAGACAGUUCUUUGUCAUGAUCUGCAGCUUCACAGUAUUCUUGAUGGGAUUAAUUUUAGGUCUUAGACACAAAGUAUUACUUAUGAGUUCCUUCUGUUACAAGGUAUGCUAGCUCUUAAUUUAUGUUUCGGACUUCCCUAAUUUUCUUUUCAUGAGAAAUUUUGAGGCAUUGUUGUCCAUAUUUGUGAUACCUAGAUAGUUGCCUAAAUAUUUAUGUACCUUGUUAUAUAAUCUUCAUGAUGAAACCUUUAAUAGUUUCAUACUUUUCACUUUCAUUGGUUUCAGCGUAUUUUCUAUGUGGGUACAGACACAAUUUAUAGAAAUUUCCUUUCCCUUUUCUUUUAAAUUAUAAAGUGCAAUUGAUUGCGCAAGAUGGAGCCUUAUAGAAGAACGGCGAGAUAUGGUCUCAUAGAAGAACUGAGCACUUACAGUAUUUCAUACUAGCAUUUAGAUUUACACAAAUAUGAUAAGGUUUUCGUGGGUUCAAUUUUGUAAGACUAUAGUUGAUGCUAGAAUAAGAUGUGGAAGAUGGAGAAAGUUCAGACCACACAUGAAAUUCCUGAAAAUAAGAUGGAAGAAGUGAGCGUUCACUGCAAUUUAUUUGGUACUAUUUGUUGUGUCUAUGUUCUAAUAUUUUUCACGAUAUACCUCGCAAAGACUAUUUCUGUGUUUUUUUUUGUUGCUAUGCAUCUACAUCGUGUUAUCUCGCUCAUGGUAAAUAAAUGUCGUGUAGUUUGGUAUUUAUCUCGGAAAGCUAUAUGCGAGCGGCAAAUAUUCCACUUUUUCUUUGUCUAUUGCAAUAGUUUAAAGUUGAUCUAUGCUCGAAUUGAAAUCGACGGAAGGUAUGUUCAUCAUACAUCUUAAGAUUAUUUUUAAUAUAUAUGAAAAAUAGACGAUUGGUUGAUCUUUCUACAUAUUUUUCACCUUUCUUUCCCGCAUUUUACGUGUUUAACAUCCCUGAUUUAUUUAGUUUGCCCAUCAGACAAAUACACUUUAUCUAUAGUAUGCUAUAAAAGUAACAAUGAAGGAAAAACUGUAUUGUUCUUUUAUUGUAUAAUUUGGUUUGCUAGAUAGUGAUUUGUCACCAAUUGGGUGGCCACUAAUUUAGAGUUUAGAAUCUCAUGUCUGCACUAUUUGCUAACCUUACUGAGCAGCAUCAUGAACAUAUUUUUACUGAAAAACCGGACAUGUACAACUAUGUUUCCAGUUCAUAAUUUAACACAUAAUUUUGGUUAGUGUGAGUAGCCUAGAUGUAUUGUUCUGAGUAUGGCAUAGGUAGACAGUUCUCUAUCUCAGAAAAUAUGCUUGAAGAUCAGCCCUGUUUUUUUGUCUAAUUUUUAUACAGAGUUUUAGUUGCUUCACACAGAAACAAAUAUCAAGAACACUUCUGAUUAUGGGAGCUGCACACAGUAACAAGCAUCAAGAGCACUUUAUUUUACUGCUAAUCCGAGCAUGUACAACUUUGCUUUUAGUUCUUACAUUACCAUGUAGUUAUCAUUUGUUUGACCAUUGUAAAUGUACUGGUUCUGAAUAUGGCGUAAAUAAGUAGACCUCAAAGUAAGAUUUGAAGGUCACACUGUUCUUUUUUGUCUAUGGAAUGACAACGGCUGGCGCAUGUGUAACAGAUGGGCACUAAUAUAUGUCAAUAAUAUUUUUUCUAAGCCAAACGAAGAAAAGGGAUUAACGGGAAAAGGAGAAGAGGUCACCUGUAGUGAUGUUUUUUUCUGCUGAAAACUUCGGCUCUUUGUCUCGGGGAAGACCUUAUAGCAUGGCAAUGGCAUACGGCAACACUCACUCUCAAAUGGCAUAUUGCUGAUAAUGAGUUAGGACGCCAAGCUGGUAGUGAAAUACUCGAAUGCUUGCAUUGGCGCUUCAGACUCCUCCAAAUCGUCGAUCAGCGGUGGCGGCCUCCAAAAUUUGGGAGGAGGAGCAGGAGAAACUUUGGGAGGAGGAGCAGGAGCUAGACGUCGGGCCAAAAAGAGAAAGGGAAUCCCAUUGUUAUGCUUGCUGCGCUGUGGUCUGAUGAGACAACGAGUACACCAGCGCCCAUUCCGACCCGGUGUCAUCAGCGACAGCGUGGUGCACCGCCGUCUGCCAGAGCAUGAAGCUCCUGCAUCCACUGAAGUUAAUCCUCUAAUCAGCCUUGAAAGCUGGAAAGAAUAAAGACCAAAUUUGGUGACAGGCUUGCCAAGAAACAGAGUAACUAAUGUAUAUUAUGAUUAUUCAAGAAUGAAA
Lolium perenne is the source of this 3854-nucleotide non-coding RNA. NCBI's taxonomy places the organism in Eukaryota, Viridiplantae, Streptophyta, Magnoliopsida, Poales, Poaceae. The record is from RefSeq and is a predicted model, not a curated record.